AAUGGGCGAAAGCCUGACGCAGCAACGCCGCGUGAGUGAAGAAGGCCUUCGGGUUGUAAAGCUCUUUUAUUCGGAAAGAAACAAAUGACGGUACCGAAAGAAUAAGCACCGGCUAACUCUGUGCCAGCAGCCGCGGUAAUACAGAGGGUGCAAGCGUUAUUCGGAAUUACUGGGCGUAAAGCGCAUGUAGGUGGUUUGAUAAGUCUGGUGUGAAAUCCCUCGACUCAAUCGGGGAAGUGCAUUGGAUACUGUCAGGCUAGAGUAUGGGAGAGGUGAGUGGAAUUCCAGGUGUAGAGGUGAAAUUCGUAGAUAUCUGGAGGAACAACAGAGGCGAAGGCGGCUCACUGGACCAUAACUGACACUGAAAUGCGAAAGCGUGGGGAGCAAA
This 388-nucleotide ribosomal RNA is filed under the name uncultured bacterium. Its description in RNAcentral is "bacterial SSU rRNA". It matches the Rfam family "Bacterial small subunit ribosomal RNA", at positions 370 to 772 of the family's 1533-position model. The record is from RNAcentral.